GUGGGGAAUAUUGGACAAUGGGGGGAACCCUGAUCCAGCCAUGCCGCGUGUGUGAAGAAGGCCUUUUGGUUGUAAAGCACUUUAAGCGAGGAGGAGGCUACUGAGAUUAAUACUCUUGGAUAGUGGACGUUACUCGCAGAAUAAGCACCGGCUAACUCUGUGCCAGCAGCCGCGGUAAUACAGAGGGUGCGAGCGUUAAUCGGAUUUACUGGGCGUAAAGCGUGCGUCGGCGGCUUUUUAAGUCGGAUGUGAAAUCCCCGAGCUUAACUUGGGAAUUGCAUUCGAUACUGGGAAGCUAGAGUAUGGGAGAGGAUGGUAGAAUUCCAGGUGUAGCGGUGAAAUGCGUAGAGAUCUGGAGGAAUACCGAUGGCGAAGGCAGCCAUCUGGCCUAAUACUGACGCUGAGGUACGAAAGCAUGGGGAGCAAACAGGAUUAGAUACCCCAGUAGUCC
Molecule: ribosomal RNA, 451 nt
Filed under: uncultured bacterium
Lineage: Bacteria
Description: partial 16S ribosomal RNA
Rfam family: Bacterial small subunit ribosomal RNA
Source: RNAcentral